This 477-nucleotide ribosomal RNA is filed under the name uncultured bacterium. Its description in RNAcentral is "partial 16S ribosomal RNA". It matches the Rfam family "Bacterial small subunit ribosomal RNA", at positions 30 to 507 of the family's 1533-position model. The record is from RNAcentral.
AUUGAACGCUGGCGGCAUGCCUUACACAUGCAAGUCGAACGGUAACAGGUUAAGCUGACGAGUGGCGACCGGGUGAGUAAUGUAUCGGAACGUGCCCAGUCGUGGGGGAUAACUGCUCGAAAGAGCAGCUAAUACCGCAUACGACCUGAGGGUGAAAGCGGGGGAUCGCAAGACCUCGCGCGAUUGGAGCGGCCGAUAUCAGAUUAGGUAGUUGGUGAGGUAAAGGCUCACCAAGCCGACGAUCUGUAGCUGGUCUGAGAGGACGACCAGCCACACUGGGGCUGGGACACGGCCCAGACUCCUACGGGAGGCAGCAGUGGGGAAUUUUGGACAAUGGGCGCAAGCCUGAUCCAGCCAUGCCGCGUGCGGGAAGAAGGCCUUCGGGUUGUAAACCGCUUUUGUCAGGGAAGAAAAGGUUCUGGCUAAUACCUGGGACUCAUGACGGUACCUGAAGAAUAAGCACCGGCUAACUACGUG